CCUAGAGUUGCUACUUUCCACUUCACUGUUCUGCUGGGUAGAACACUGUGUCUCCUGCCAUUUAAUCCCAGCUGAAAAUGGAAUCUGUUCUGUCUUUUGUUUUCUCAGAAGAAGAUCUUGUCCACAGAGCCUGUGAUACUGGGGACUUAUAAAGUAUACUGACAAGGUGGUCUUUGAUCAAAGCAACAUUGGAAGCCAAGUGUUAGAGCAAUGGCAGAGCAAUCAGAUGGAAGGAGCCUGGGUUCCUGGGUUUCUGAUCAUUGCAUGAAGAGGAGCCACUUGACAAUCAGGAGCAUCCAAUUUGGACUUAAUCCGAUGACUUGACGCCAAAACAUCUGCCCACAUGUGCUGAAGAUCUGUGCAGAGAAUGAAAACCUUGAUUACCUUGCGAACUUCACUUCUGCAACAGGAAGUUAAAAACUUGAAAUUUAUAUUGAAAUGGAUUUAUAUGUCUUCUUUCUGUCAAAUACACCUUCACAUCUGAAUGUGAGAGUCUGAUGUGAACAUUCAUCAAAGAAUAAAUUUACUUCCAAUGUG
Non-coding RNA from Sus scrofa (pig), 537 nucleotides. The record is from RefSeq and is a predicted model, not a curated record. NCBI's taxonomy places the organism in Eukaryota, Metazoa, Chordata, Mammalia, Artiodactyla, Suidae.